This is an RNA transcript of Culicoides brevitarsis, 2996 nucleotides long. It is a transcript of the gene named vang-like protein 2-B, with no coding region annotated. The transcript has 3 exons. NCBI's taxonomy places the organism in Eukaryota, Metazoa, Arthropoda, Insecta, Diptera, Ceratopogonidae. The record is from RefSeq and is a predicted model, not a curated record.
AAUUGGAAUUUCAUAUCAAACAACCCAAAAACUGCCAAAUUCAAGGGAAAAAGUGAAGAAUUUCCGCAAAAUUUUAUUUUUCUUUAAGAACGGACCGUGAGAAAAUCCGUGUUCACCUGUCGCUGUAUCACAAACCUACGUGCCGUGUAUCGAUUAACAAUCAAAAACCUGACUCAAAGAACUUUCCGAGGGAGUAGCGGCAACGUCGGCGACGCAAAUCGACGUAAAUGUGGUGCAAAAGUCGCAAAAGUGCCAAAGAAACCGCAAAAUCGGAAACAUGGAAGAAGAUUCAGUAAUGUCCGAGAUUUCAAUACGAUCCAUAACUACACAAAAUAGAAGGAACAAAAAAGAAAGCAGCAGCGAACGAAUAGGAUCGCAUCGAGAUCGCAGUACGAGACACUCGCAUCGCAGCAGUCGCCGAAAUCACAUGAAAAAUCCGGAUAUGGCGCCGUUUCAGACUUCGGUGAACAUCGGGGAAGAUGGCGCACAGGAGUUAAUUGAAGUACAAAUCCUUCCGCAGGACCAAACAUGGGGCGAGAACACGACAGUUGUCACGGGAAACACUUCCGAUCAAAGUAUUUCGAUGGAAGACAUCAGUACGUGGCCCAUUGGAGGCGAACAAAAGAUGGGAUUUACAUGUUCGCGAUAUAUGGAACGAAUUUUCUCCCUACUUUUGUGUCUCGUCGCAUUUGUAAGUCCCUUGACGAUGGUAAUUUUACCGAAAUUGGGCUUUUUUUCAUCGACUUUUGACAAUCAAGACCUUACGCCGCUCGUUCGGAUACAACUUCUUGCUUGCAAUGCCGAAUGCAAAGGACUUUUAGUGUCACUCGCGGCGAGAAUGUUACUUUUAGCCCUUGGAUUGUGGGCUUUGUACUUCAGAGCGCCUGUCGCAACGAUGCCAAGGAUAUUUUUAUUCCGUUCCAUCGUCAUUUUGCUCGUGCUGAUAUCGACUUUCGCCUAUUGGCUCUUCUAUAUAGUUCAAAUUACGGAAGGAACCAAAGCUAUUGUCGAAGGAAGUGAAAUUGUGAAUUACAAAACGGUCGUUUCUUAUGCAAUUUCCUUCGCGGAUACACUUUUGUUCAUCCAUUACAUCGGAGUUGUGUUGCUGGAGAUUAAACAUUUGCAGCCAACGUUUUAUAUCAAAGUUAUUCGAAGUCCCGAUGGCGAAUCCAGAAGUUUUAGUAUUGGUCAGUUGUCGAUUCAACGAGCUGCGGUUUAUGUUUUGCAGAAAUAUUACGCGGAAUUUCCCAUUUUUAACCCUUAUUUGGAGCGUUUGCCUGUUUCAAAGUCCCAACGGAAGGCGGCGAUGUCGAGUUUCAAGUAUUACGAAGUUGAUGGCAUCAAUAAUUCGCAGCAGCAGAGUCAAAGUAGGGCAGUUUUGGCGGCCCAUGCGCGGCGUAGAGACUCUUCGCAUAACGAACGCUUCUACGAUGAGCAUGAAUACGAAAGGAGAGUGAAAAAACGUCGUGCUCGCUUGGUAACUGCUGCGGAAGAGGCCUUUACGCACAUUAAACGCGUUCAAAACGAACCCACAAAUAAUAUUUUGGACCCGCAUGAAGCUGCGCAAGCUGUUUUCCCAUCAAUGGCACGCGCUUUACAGAAAUAUCUGAGAGUUACGCGACAACAACCCCGUCACACCGUCGAAUCCAUCUUAAAACAUCUCGCGUACUGCCUUAAAAACGAUUUGUCGCCAAAAGCAUUCCUCGAGCCGUACACUUGUGAGACGCCCGUGUUGCAAAGCGAGAAAGAACGCGAUCGUUCGAUCCAAUCUUGGUCCCUGAUUUGCGAAGAACUGCUUUCGAGACCCAUUUCGACGGGAUGCAGCUUCCAAUUGAUACAAAAUGACGUCUCGUUGACGGUUUUCGUGCAUCGUCUUCCGCAUUUUAACAUCGCAGAGGAAGUUGUUGAUCCAAAAUGCAAUAAAUUCAUGCUGAAGCUGAACUCGGAGACGAGUGUGUGACAAAAACAGACACCCGCACAAGAAUUCUACGAUAAUGAAUAUGAAUAUGAUUAAAGUGACGUGAGUGAGAAAAAAAAUUAACGGAAAGUAGUGAAGAACAAAGGAAAUUUCGGUGUUGACCACCUCCGAGAAAGACAUAAAUCAAAACUGUAGUUAAUUAACGGGUCGAGUCUCUUUGAAUUUUAGGCCAAAGCAAUAAUUGAAAUGAACAAAAGACUGAAACUAAGCUUUCUUCAAAAAAAAAAAAAAAAAAUUUUUUUUUUUGUUAAAAUAUGAGCUUCGACCGCAAAUUUCACACUGCUUCCUCCUAAAUUAUAGGGCAUGCCACAAAAAUAAUGAUAAUUCUUCUAACACAUAUCAAAGCAAUUUCAUUCACGUACGAAUCAAAAAAAUAAAAAAAAGUAAAAUAAUGAGCCAAAAUCCCAAAUGAUAGAUCGCGCAGGUACCUGUGUGUGACUGUGAGUGUAAAUAAUUGAAAAAUCAUGCAACAAUAUCAAAUCAAACGAAUCAAAAUAUCAAAAUCAAAGAUCUCGACGAUCAUCUUCUUGUGCGCGGUGGUAAAUUUGACCACAACAAAAGGUAAUUCGUGUCAUCAUUAAAGCAUUUUUUUAUGUUUAAGAGUAUUCUUUAAUUCGCUCUAACGGACAAAGAGAGUGUAAAGUGAAGAAAAUUGGAAGAAUAACAACAACAACAAGAACAGGGGAGGAUCUCAUGCGAAACGAUGUUUCGUUUUGUUCGUGAACUUGUACUUCCUCAAAAAAAUGUACAUUCCGUAGAUGUACAAACGAAAAGAAGAAGACUUAAAUUGAAUUUUUCGUGUUUGUUGUUUUGGUCAAUGAAUGUUUGAUUUUAUCUGUAAAUUUUUAUUUAAUAAUUGUAAUCUUCCUCCGAUUAUUUUUCGUCUAAAAUUAGUUGUACUUAAAAAAAUUAAGAGUAUUUAAUAAUUAUUAUCGUACUUUUUACGUACUUAGCACGAAAUUAUUUUACUUAAAAAUAUUUAUUUCCUAUUUAAAAGACUCAAGAAAAAAAAUUCUCA